UAAAGAAUUUCGGUAUGGGAUGGGGAUGCGUUCCAUUAGUUAGUUGGCGGGGUAACGGCCCACCAAGACAACGAUGGAUAGGGGUUCUGAGAGGAAGGUCCCCCACAUUGGAACUGAGACACGGUCCAAACUCCUACGGGAGGCAGCAGUGAGGAAUAUUGGUCAAUGGACGAGAGUCUGAACCAGCCAAGUAGCGUGAAGGAUGACUGCCCUAUGGGUUGUAAACUUCUUUUAUAUGGGAAUAAAACGUUCCACGUGUGGAAUUUUGUAUGUACCAUAUGAAUAAGGAUCGGCUAACUCCGUGCCAGCAGCCGCGGUAAUACGGAGGAUCCGAGCGUUAUCCGGAUUUAUUGGGUUUAAAGGGAGCGUAGGUGGAUUGUUAAGUCAGUUGUGAAAGUUUGCGGCUCAACCGUAAAAUUGCAGUUGAAACUGGCAGUCUUGAGUACAGUAGAGGUGGGCGGAAUUCGUGGUGUAGCGGUGAGAUGCUUAGAUAUCACGAAGAACUCCGAUUGCGAAGGCAGCUCACUGGACUGCAACUGACACUGAGGCUCGAAAGUGUGGGUAUCAAACAGGAUUAGAUACCCUGGUAGUCCACACAGUAAACGAUGAAUACUCGCUGUUUGCGAUAUACAGCAA
Molecule: ribosomal RNA, 636 nt
Filed under: uncultured bacterium
Lineage: Bacteria
Description: bacterial SSU rRNA
Rfam family: Bacterial small subunit ribosomal RNA
Source: RNAcentral